CACGUAGGGUGCGAGCGUUGUCCGGAAUUAUUGGGCGUAAAGAGCUCGUAGGCGGUGUGUCGCGUCGGCCGUGAAAACCUGCAGCUUAACUGUGGGCUUGCGGUCGAUACGGGCAUCACUGGAGUUCGGCAGGGGAGACUGGAAUUCCCGGUGUAGCGGUGAAAUGUGUAGAGAUCGGGAGGAACACCGGUGGCGAAGGCGGGUCUCUGGGCAUCUCCUGACGCUGAGGCGCGAAAGCGUGGGGAGCAAACGGG
Molecule: ribosomal RNA, 254 nt
Filed under: uncultured bacterium
Lineage: Bacteria
Description: partial 16S ribosomal RNA
Rfam family: Bacterial small subunit ribosomal RNA
Source: RNAcentral